UCUCUACUGAGUAUACCCGUACAUUUACCUUCCAAGUAAAAAGACUAGAAAACCUAGAUUAGAGAA
Molecule: transfer RNA, 66 nt
Filed under: Homoiodoris japonica
Lineage: Eukaryota; Metazoa; Mollusca; Gastropoda; Nudibranchia; Dorididae
Description: tRNA-Gly
Source: RNAcentral